CAGCACCUCAAGUGGUCAGGAUGAUUAUUGGGCCUAAAGCAUCCGUAGCCGGCGCUGUAAGUUUUCGGUUAAAUCUGUACGCUCAACGUACAGGCUGCCGGGAAUACUGCAGCGCUAGGGAGUGGGAGAGGUAGACGGUACUCGGUAGGAAGGGGCAAAAUCCUUUGAUCUAUUGAUGACCACCUGUGGCGAAGGCGGUCUACCAGAACACGUCCGACGGUGAGGGAUGAAAGCUGGGGGAGCAAACCGGAUUAGAUACCCGUGUAGUCC
This 270-nucleotide ribosomal RNA is filed under the name uncultured archaeon. Its description in RNAcentral is "partial 16S ribosomal RNA". It matches the Rfam family "Archaeal small subunit ribosomal RNA", at positions 477 to 747 of the family's 1478-position model. The record is from RNAcentral.